UUAAAAAUCUUGCAUUGACUAAAUUUAUUAAAAUGGGUAAGUCCUCAUAUUUCUUAUUGUAUGUUGUUGAAAGGUUCAGAAGAUUUUGGUUAAAAAUUGUUUAUUGUUGAUUUAUUGCUGUUUAUAAAAGUUUCAGUUUUACAGGAAGAGAUGUUGAUAGCCCAUAAAAAUAUACUGGUUGAAAGAGAACUGAACGUCAAGUACUCAGAUUGGGGAGGAAGAAGGAAGGAAAUUGAGACUAGAGAAAUCAAAUCAAGAAAAUCAAAUUUUAAAGUAAGCUAACAUAAUCUCAAAGGAACUUCACGACAAAAUAAUCCAACUCUGAACCAACCUAAUUAAACAUCACAGUAACUAAACCUAAGAGUACUGCAACCACAAUGUGAGUCAACAUUAAAAGACUUAAGCCAACUCCAAACCAACUUAACCAGACGCCAAAGGAAAUGAACCCAACCUUAUAACAAGCCAACCGGAAAACACACCUACAUAAAUCUGUUCCUAAGAUUUUUUGGACAAAGGAGUCUCGUCUUUAAUGUCUUCAGCAUAAUAUUCAGUUUUAGUUUUAAAAGAAGAGGUGCUGAUAGCUGAUAAAAAUAUACUGAUUGAAACAGAACUCAACGUCAAGUACCCAGAUUGGGAAGGAAGUAUGAAGGAAAUAAAUUGAGUGCUUGGAUUAGAAAAUUUUUUUAAUAUUGCCAUACAAUCGAAUAAAAUCGACAUAGGUGAGAAAAAAUUCAACUUUAAAGCAAGCAAAAAAAAUUUCAAAGAAACUUCACGAUAAAAUGAUCCAAUUCUGAACCAACCUAAUUAAACAUCACAGCAACUAAACCUAAGACUGUUCCAACCACAAUAUCACCCAACAUUAAAGCAAGUCAAAAUAAUCAAGUCAACCCCACACAAAUGCAACUGAAACUUAAGCCAACUCCAAACCCACUUAAGACCUCAAAGGUAAUGAACCCAACCUUAUAACAAGCCAACGAAAAACACACGUACAUGAAUCUGCUCCUAAGAUUUUUCGGACAAAGAAGCUCUCGUCUUUAAUGUCUCCAACAUAAUAUUCAGGUAUCGAUCAGCUGAUGAUUGCUUUUGACAGUUGCAAACCAUUCGAAAACCGAUACACAUACAUUCUAAAAAAAUUUAUUAAAUUAAUUGUUAACACAUACAAUUUGUAAUGAAUACGCAACACAAAGAAACUUCCUUACCUCAAGUAAAAUAUCAUGUAAACUUAACUAUUUAUACAUCAUAUUUGGAAGUUUAUAUUAUCUUUUAGAGUAAAAACAUACACGGUGGCAAGAUAAAUUUUAUGAGCGUAAGCGUAGUGGUCAUAAAACCGAGUGACGGAAGGACAAGAGCUGUGACUGAAUAAAAGAUGGUUACGUUACACAAGUGGUUUUCUCGGACCAUAAGCCGGUGCCCGGAGCAGUCGGUGGUCAUAGACGACGAUCAUUAGAUCCGGAGGCCGGUAAGAAGUGAGAGGAUUCGCGAGAUAUCCGAGGUACCAGGAUGUUGUUAGAUGGACAAGAUUGAAGAGAAGAUACUGGAGGCAUCAUGUUGAAAGGAGGACUACCGCAUAAACGCUGGCAUGAGAGUUGUACGUGGUCAUCAUAAGAUAACAACCCAUAGGAACGGAAGUGGGAAGAGGAGAAAUGGAAAAAAUAGGGCUGGUCCCUAAAAUAAGAAGAAGAAGAGAAUUUCAUAUCUCAGUUGAGAUGUAAGAAUUUCUUUAAGAUAGUUAUUACUCAUUUCUGGGGAGUUUUGCCACGCUGAGUCUUUGGUGGGACUGCCAGAGUUAAUCUUUCUUAUAACGUUACUUGGAGGCUCCCAAUCACUUUUUUUGCUGGCAAGACGGGGAUUGCUCGAUUUUAAGAAGACGUGUUCAUUUAAAAUUAAUGCAAGCGAUACCUUUAAGGAUAGACCAAUCAGUCUGCUUCAAACAAGGACACUCAAGAAGCCAUCAAAUCCAGAGAUUAGUCGACUCGAUAGAGGUUGGUUUUGAAAAUAAAAUGUACAUAACAGCGCUGUUCCUGGAUAUCACGCAGGCUUUUGAAGUAUCUUGGAGUACACCCAGACACAAGACUGAGUUGAUAGGACAAUACAGGAUCACAGAGCCAAAAUCUGCAUUCUACGGUUGCUGAAUCUCCCAACCCUCUUAUAUCGAGCAUAACAAGCAUCAACGAAAUAUUUUGCUUCUUUAAGCAUUUAGGAUUAAACGCAGGAGGAAGGCUGCCUUUGGCCUGAUGUAUAUCCUUUAUAGAGGCGCCGAAGAGACUUUCGCGUUACGUAAGGUGGCGCAACUUGCCGACGAUUAUAAUCGGAUGCAAUGGAGUCGUUUGUUCGAUUUGUUCUCGGUGUCAGGUCGUAUGUCAGCUUCGGGAGAGAAUCGAACAUAGAAAAAUACGUUCAAAAUGGCGAUUCUAAUUGUUGCACGUCUAAUCAACGACGUUUUACAUUGCGCAAAACACUAUUUAACGCACACCAGAACAAAUAAUAUGUCAGACACAUCGGAGUAACAUUUUAAAGAAAAAAUUGAUUACUAAAUACAUAAUUGCAAUAAUUACAAUUUACUGUCUUUCAAUGUCUUGAAAUGUCUUUCAGAAAUUAUAUCUUAUUUAAGCUUUGACCCAAA
RNAcentral lists this unclassified non-coding RNA (2623 nucleotides) under Onthophagus taurus. RNAcentral's name for it is "putative glucose-6-phosphate 1-epimerase, transcript variant X3". Lineage: Eukaryota; Metazoa; Arthropoda; Insecta; Coleoptera; Scarabaeidae. The record is from RNAcentral.